RNAcentral lists this ribosomal RNA (407 nucleotides) under Chlamydia psittaci RD1. It matches the Rfam family "Bacterial large subunit ribosomal RNA", at positions 1 to 403 of the family's 2925-position model. The record is from RNAcentral. Lineage: Bacteria; Pseudomonadati; Chlamydiota; Chlamydiia; Chlamydiales; Chlamydiaceae.
AAUUUACAGACCAAGUUAUUAAGAGCUAUUGGUGGAUGCCUUGGCAUUGACAGGCGAUGAAGGAUGCGUUUACCUGCAGUAAUCUUCGGCGAGCUGGUAUAAAGCUAUGACCCGGAGGUCUCCGAAUGGGGCAACCCGGUAGAUUAAUCAUCUACCAUUAUACGUUGAAUACAUAGGCGUAUAAGGCGACACCUGCUGAACUGAAACAUCUUAGUAAGCAGAGGAAAAUAAAUCAAAGAGAUUCCCUAAGUAGCGGCGAGCGAAAGGGGAGAAGACCAAACCACAUUUUUAAUGUGGGGUUGUAGGGUCGAUAACAUGGGAUCUUAAGUUUUAGUUGAAUACUUCUGGAAAGUAGAACGAUACAGGGUGAUAGUCCCGUAGACGAAAAAACAAGAGACUCUAUUCGA